UAGGGAAUCUUCGGCAAUGGGGGCAACCCUGACCGAGCAACGCCGCGUGAGUGAAGAAGGUUUUCGGAUCGUAAAGCUCUGUUGUAAGUCAAGAACGGGUGUGAGAGUGGAAAGUUCACACUGUGACGGUAGCUUACCAGAAAGGGACGGCUAACUACGUGCCAGCAGCCGCGGUAAUACGUAGGUCCCGAGCGUUGUCCGGAUUUAUUGGGCGUAAAGCGAGCGCAGGCGGUUUGAUAAGUCUGAAGUUAAAGGCUGUGGCUCAACCAUAGUUCGCUUUGGAAACUGUCAAACUUGAGUGCAGAAGGGGAGAGUGGAAUUCCAUGCGUAGCGGUGAAAUGCGUAGAUAUAUGGAGGAACACCGGUGGCGAAAGCGGCUCUCUGGUCUGUAACUGACGCUGAGGCUCGAAAGCGUGGGGAGCGAACAGGAUUAGAUACCCUGGUAGUCCACGCCGUAAACGAUGAGUGCUAGGUGUUGGAUCCUUUCCGGGAUUCAGUGCCGCAGCUAACGCAUUAAGCACUCCGCCUGGGGAGUACGACCGCAAGGUUGAAACUCUAAAGUGAAUUGAC
Molecule: ribosomal RNA, 570 nt
Filed under: uncultured bacterium
Lineage: Bacteria
Description: partial 16S ribosomal RNA
Rfam family: Bacterial small subunit ribosomal RNA
Source: RNAcentral